CCAGUGCAUUCUACACUCAGAUGUGGAAAAUCACUUGAGUGUUGUGCUUUCUAUUAAGAUUAUCUUCCAAGAGAAAUUUGAGAAUUGACACUGGUAAAAUAGGUAAUCUGAGGACUUCAGAUGGUCUUGUCAUUUAUUUGAAUUAAGGUACUUAAACAUUUUGAUGCAGCUAUUGUCUGGAUUCUGAUAACUUAAGUCAUACAGUAAACAUGCAUGUAACUAAGGAUGUGAAACUGUCAUGAACUGAAUGUCAGAUUUGUCUGUGUCUUUAAAAUUGUCCCCAAGAAGGUGUGUUAUUCCUUAAGAAGUAGAUUUAACUAAAACAGAAGCGUAGGAAUUAUAGCAAAGUAAAUUUCAGUCUCAGAAAACCUUGAAAUGAGAUAAUCUGCAUUAUCUGAACAGUUUUAAGUUAACCAGACAUUCCCUUUUGGGGGAAACGACUUUUGCUUGAAACCUUCAGCUGCUUUUAAAGUAUAUAUUUCUUGUGUAAUGUGCCAUAGAAAAACUGAUCAGAUAACAGAUUUUGUGAGUACCAGCUUUGUGGUAGCAUUUGGAUAGCAGUAUUGACAAAGCCCAUUUCAUGAACUACCAAAGCAAAGACAGCAGUUU
This 609-nucleotide long non-coding RNA is filed under the name Bos taurus (domestic cattle). Its description in RNAcentral is "long non-coding RNA NONBTAT022991". The record is from RNAcentral. Lineage: Eukaryota; Metazoa; Chordata; Mammalia; Artiodactyla; Bovidae.